Molecule: long non-coding RNA, 5243 nt
Filed under: Physcomitrium patens
Lineage: Eukaryota; Viridiplantae; Streptophyta; Bryopsida; Funariales; Funariaceae
Description: long non-coding RNA (PPAT_LNC006860)
Source: RNAcentral
GAGAGUCGUAAGCCGAUGGGCUAGACUAUGAGAGUCGUAAGCCGAGGAGCCAAACUAUGAGAGUCGUAAGCUUGGGAGCUAGAUUGUGAGAGUCGUAAGCCGGAGUAAGCUUGGUGCUACUUCUUUAUUUUCUUUUCUUUUAUUAUUUGCUUAUGAAGAAAUGUGAUUGAAAGAAGUAUUGUUGAAACUAAGAUUAAAAUAUUGUGGAAUAUGACUUUGGACUGAUCGUUUUGGAGAAAAUUUGUGACCUUGAGAAUUGAAAUUAUCGAAUUGUAUUGUACUAAGUGAAGAUAUUGAAUUCUGUGUGAUGAAUUGAGAAACUAAAUAUAAUAAGUAAGCUGGAGAUCAGUAAUUGAAUAUAUAUAAACCGCAAAGAGAGUAAGUGAGAGAUGAACUGAUAAGAAUAUGGAAGUAUUGUUGAAUUGAUAGUUGUAGAAUGGAUUAUGUGUUGAAUUAAGAUGGAAGUAGUAAGCCUUGGUAUUUUGUAGUUUGAUAAUUGAUUUUAGAUAGCUAGAGUACAAUCAAUUGUGACACUAACAGACCCAAUUCAUAUAACCAGUCUUUCCUCGUGUUCGAACCCAUGUCUAUUAGUUCAAUUGCUUUGGUAUAUUAAAGCUUGAAUACAACGAGAACAACAUUUUGGCACCGUUGCUGGAGAAAUGAUAACAAUAUGAAAUAUUAGAAAUUGAUUGUAUGGGAGAUAGAAAUAUAUGAUGAAUGAGAACGUGAGAAGAACCAGUUUUAGGAUUACAAAUAUGUGAGUUAUAAUUCAAGGUAGUAUUGAUUUAUAUAUAAUUGAGAGCCAUUAUAAAUUUAAAUAAAUUAGAUUUAUUUUUUUUCAUUAAAAAGUUAAAAAAAUUAUCUAUUUAAAAAUAUUUUUUAUUUUUAUUUUUAUUUUUUACUAAAUAAAAAUCUAAUAAAUAAACUAUGACUAGUUUUGUAGUAUGUAAUUGCUUGAUUGUACUUAUUCCACUUGUUUUGUGUUGUACUUGUUUUGUUCUUAUUUUUGCUACUUCCUUUUUAUACUACUAAUUACAAACAAGUCUUAAUUGAGGCCAUCUUGUAAUUUGGAUUGAAGAAUAAAAUUUAUCUUUGCACCAAAAGAUGAAUAAGUGAAGUUCAAUAGCAAGAUAAGAAAAUGCAUCUUUAUUUGAUAUGACAUCAAUAGCAAGGUUUGAUGAGACUAUGAUUCUAAAAAAAUGAAUAAUCAUCAAUAGAGAUUUUAUUUUUAACAAAAUAAGAGUUAAUUAUCAAUAUCUUAAUAUCAAUAAUAAUAAGAAUUUUAAAGAUUUAUUUUUUUCACUACUAAGAAAUUUAUAAGAACAAUUGUAAUGGCUCUCAAGGUGGUAAAAUUCAAUUUUACCAAGGUCUUGAAAUCUUCUAUAAAAAUUCUAAAAAAAUUGUAAAAAAUAAUAUAAUAAUUUUAUAAUAAUAAUAUAUAUUCAAAAUUAUAUUUUUAUAUCUUGAUAAUAUUUUACAAUAAUAAAAUAAAUUUAUAUCCAUUAAAAAUUCUAUUUUUUAUAUAAUUAACAAAAAAGACAUGAAGUUCUCUUUUAUGCUUUUUUUAACAAGUAACUAAUAUUUAUAGUUUUUUUUAUAAGUGAUACAUAUAGAUAUAAGGCCAAUAUAAAUAUUAAUCUUUAAUACUCAAUAAUGAAUAAAAAUACUAAACCAACUAAGAUAAUUACUUCUAAGACUUAUUGAGACUCUAUUUCUACAACUAACAUUUUAAUUUUCUAUUUGUCUAAGGAUUUUUACACUACUCACCAUAUAUUAUGAUUUUAAGAUCUCUAAAUACAUCUUUUUGUUCUAAAAUAAUUAAUGAGUUGAUUUGAUGACUCACAUAUGGCACAUGCAAAUAAGCAAUACAAUCAAAUAUCUUUAGGUAUUGUAAUUUUGGUUUCUUCUUAUAAUAUAAUUCUAUUGGUAUCUUUCUAUUAUUGAAUUCACUUGGACACAAGUUUACUAAGUAGUUUGAUGUAUUAAUAGCUUUAGGCUAUAGGCUCAAAUAUAAUUUAUUUUCAUGAAUCAUACUUUUGGCUUUUUCUACUAUUCUUCUAUUGCACCUAUUAGCAAUACCAUUUUGCUAAGAAAUCAGAGCUUAUAUUAUUUGUCUUGUUAUUUUGCAUUUUUUAAAAAAAUAUUGAAAUUCUUUAAAUAAGAAUUAUCUAUUUUUUUUAUUCUAAGCAUGAGCAAUUUCUUAGUUGUUUUUUUUUUUCUUCAACUUGAGCUUUGAAUAUGUAAAACUUAGAGAAUGUUUCUUUUUUGGACUUAAGAAAGUAAAUCCAACUUUGGUAAGAAAAAUUAUUUUUAAAUACUACCAAGUACUUGGUCUUGCUUAGAGAUGGUUUUUAAAUUUAUCCAACUAUAUCUACAUGCACAAGUUGAAGUAGAUUUUUUGAUCUAUUAAGACUUUAUUUUAAAACCCUCUUUCUAUACUCAUAACCUGCAUUGCAAAUUUUAAAAUUUUCUUUAGGUAUAAUUUUAAUAAUAGAUAAGUUUUUUAUUUUUUUAUUUAUAUAAAUUUUUCUUAAAAUAAAAAAUAAGGUAUCUAAAUAUAUCAUAUUAUAUUUUAAUCUUUUUUAUAAUUGAUAAAUUAACUUCAGUUGUAAAUUGGUUUAUACAAUACAUGUUAUUCCUUGAUUCUUGCAACUUAUUGAUAAUCAUGAUAUGUUCUCUUUUUUUUUUUUUAUCAAUAAUUCAAAAUUCAUCCAUCAAAAAAAUUACUAAAUUUCUUUUUUCUAUAAAGAAACCAAUUGAUAACAAAUUUUCUUUAAAGAAGGUAAAAAUAAAAUAUUGAUUACCUUAUUUGAUUUUCCAUUUUCAAUUUUUAUGUUUAUUUUCCUUUAUUCAAAUGUAAUAUGAAGUUCACCACCUUUUGCUCUUAUUUUUUAAAAUAGACUUACAAGUUUGAAAUAGCUUAAUGCUAAAUUGUUGCUUGUUACAUAUUGAAAGGCUCUACUACAAAGAUUCUAAUUGAAAUUAUUUUUUUCUUUUUCUAAUGGUUUUAGUUAGAUUGAUAUUUACUUCUUGAAAAUCAUCCUCUUAUUUAAAGUUGGAUGAAUUGUUUGUUUCAAUAAUACAUGCCCUUGGCUUAUUAAUAUUUGAUAGUAGCUUUUUAAACCUGCAAUCUUUUGUUAUGUGUUUUGGCUUCCCACAAAUAUAAUGAUAAAUCAAGCAUAUAUUUCUAUUAGCAUGAAGUGUUUUUGUAAUAUCUCGACCCCUCAAGAAAAGACGUCUUCUUCUGUAAGAUGAGUAACUUCCUUUGCUUCUUGUAAUUCUAGUAUUAUACUUUGUUCUUGAAGCUUGAACUACUAAUGUUUUAUUUUUAGAAUUGGCAUUAGUAUUAGCUCUUAAUUAUAAUCUGUUUGUUUAGUUAUUAGUCUAAAUAAAAUCUUUUCAAAACUUAAAAAUUUAUCAAUGGAUGUUGAAUUAUAUGUCAAAGUAUCAAAAGAAAGAAGCAAUUUAUUUAAAAUUGUUUGUACAAGAGUCUUGGCUAGAAUUUUCUCACUAAAUACAACCAAUUGGUUUUUGAUUUUGCAAGUUGUCUUCAAAAAUUCUUCCAUGGAGGUAAAAUUUUAAAACUUCAAAGUUAAUAUAUAAUAGUUGAGAUUCAAUACCAGAGCAAGAUCUCUACUUUUGUACCUGACUUUCAAUGUUUUCUAUAUAUUUGUUAGAUUGUCUUAUUUUGUCACCAUGUCUAAUAGAUAGUCCUUCACAACAUAUAUAAGUUUUUUUUUUUUUUUUUUUUUUUUUUUUUGUCUUUGCCAUCAUAUUACAAAUUUGAGUUUCUCACAAUGUAUGCCCAUUGUAUAAACAUGGAUAUAUUGCUGGUAUAAAUUUCUCAAUAGUGAGCUCCUCUAGGUUUUUUGCUUACAAAAAGAUCUUCAUCCUCAACCUCCAAACAUAUGAAUUUUCUUCACCAAUCAAUUUCUUGGCCUUCUCAACCUACAAGAGAUUAUUGGAGCUCAACAUUAUCAAUGUCUUUAUUAUGCUCUCUUCGCAAAUAGAAUGCUCAUCAUGAUAUACUUAUUUUUAUUCCUUAACAAUGCAACUCUUCUAGAUUUUCUAAGCCUUGCUUUGAUAUUAUGUAGGAUUUUCAUAACCAAAAAUUUCUUUAUUUUCUUUAUAGAAUUCAAUUCAUACAAUUUAAACAUGAGUUGUUCAAAUAAUUUAACUCAAUCUUUUAUUCUAUAUUUUGUUCAAAUUAUACUUCUACUUCUGAUCAUGAUUGGUGUAUAUCCUGACCACAUUGAAAACUAGCAGGUAUGAAGUUUGUCCUUAUAUCACCAUAGUAUCAGCUUAAUAUCAACUUGGUAUCAACCUUGUAUCACCAUGGUAUCAGCCUUGUAUCAAGAAAGAAACCCUAGGUGCCCUUUUUUCCAAUAUUGCAUGCUUUAAAUGGUGAGGUAUGUUGUAUUAUUCUGUAAAAUUGUGUAAUUUUUACAUAGUGAAGUAAAGCUUAAUAUUGUUUAAAUCAAUGGAAAAAGAUUUGAUGCGUUUUUUUAUUUGAUUAUUAAGCAUGACCAAUACAUUGCACUUGAUGUAGAAAAGGAUUUGGUUGAGUAUAUAUUUAUUUAUAGACAUUAAAACCUCUUCUAAUUAUUAUUUUUGUAUUAGCAUCCAUCAUGAAAAUUUAGACAUUUUUAUAACUAAAAUUUGGAUUAUCAACUUCACAAUACUGAUUGCCAUUUUUUAAUAAUUUAAUGUCAUAAUAGACCAUAUGAUUUUUAACUUUUGAGUUUUUGUUCUGCAUAUUUGUCAGUAAAAAUAAGAAUCAAACUUUAAGUAUUUUUAAUUCAAUCAAUGGCAAUGUUGAGAUAUGUUUGAAUUUUGAUUAGAAAAAAAUUAAAGAUUUUAAUUAUUAAAAAUAUCAAUGUUAAUAUGUUAUUGAAAUUUUGAAUGUAGUUUUUGCAACUUGUAUUUUUAAAGUAAGUUUUAUAAAUUUUUUAGAAAAUAAUAGAUAGAGAUUUUGAAAAUUAAUAUAAAUAAUAUUUUAUUCUUUAUAAAACAACAUUGUGCAUUAAAAUUAUGAUAUUAGAAUUGUGAUGAUUAAAUGCACAUACUAUAUAUAACAAAUUUUAGAAUAAAAUAUAUAAAAUUAAUAAUAAAUUAUCAUUAUUAAAAUAAAAUUUCAUAUUUAUAUAUGUUUUUAGGAUUUAUGAUAUAAAAUAAUUUUAUUUCUAGUAAAUUAUAUAAAUAUUUUUUUUAAAAAUAUUCAAAAAAGAUUAAAUACUAAUAAU